UUCAGCAUACAAUUGUACCACAUCACAAGCCUUGAGAAAAAACAUUUUUUCCACAGAAAGUUUCAGUUACUGAGGCAUGUCUUUAUUGAGGGAAGGAAACACGAAGCUCUUCAUCUCACUGUUUAAGACCCAAACCCAGGAAAAGCAACAUGCUUGAAAACAAAAUGCAUGCUUUUGGAGUUAGAACUUUCUGUGUAAAACACACAGACACACAGACACACACAUUCAGGGGAGGCUCAGGGCACCAUUAAUAAUUACGGUUAAUAUGAUCUCACUUAAACUUGAGAGGGGACGUGUAAGUCAGCUCUUCACAGCUCUUGCAAGUGCAUGACGCAGAGAGAGAGAACGAGAGAGAGUGUGUGAGAGAGGACAUAAAGUGUAUGUGUGUGUGUGUGUGUUGUGUAAUGCAGCUGCUGCGUGAUGAUCAACAUCCACAAGCUUCUUUACCUCGCUAACUGUGGGAGCAGGCGUAAAUAGAUGGCCUCUUCAUUAGCUGAGCUGGAGAUGCUGACCAUCUUGUUUUCUCUCCUGGUUUUUGCCCUCUUCACACUUGGAGGGAUGCUCAAUGAGGAAUGUGGACAGUCAAAUGAGACUAACACAAACCCACAAAACGAUGUGCUGACUGUCUGACUUUGAUGAGGGUUAUGAUUCAGAUACAGAAGAUUCACAGGGGAAAAGCAGCCCUUUGAGCAUGUGACAGUCAAAGCCCCCUCCUGUGUGAACCUGUUGGUUACCGGAAAAAAGGUUGAACUGAUAACCUCUGAACAUAAGUGCAUGUGUACUUUGUUAAAGGAUCUUGCAUUAAUAGCCUCCAGGAUGAGGCAUAGGGGAGUGGCCGACACUACACAUUGUAAAACAAAAAAAAAAGACUGAACAAAGAAACGCCUGCUUUAACAAACAGUGUCAAGUCAGUAUCUCGCGCCUGUGAGAGUGUGAAGACAGAAGGGUUUUAUCUAACCUAGAUCUGAA
Non-coding RNA from Neolamprologus brichardi, 969 nucleotides. The record is from RefSeq and is a predicted model, not a curated record. Lineage: Eukaryota; Metazoa; Chordata; Actinopteri; Cichliformes; Cichlidae.